This 255-nucleotide ribosomal RNA is filed under the name uncultured Lactobacillus sp. Its description in RNAcentral is "partial 16S ribosomal RNA". It matches the Rfam family "Bacterial small subunit ribosomal RNA", at positions 107 to 355 of the family's 1533-position model. Lineage: Bacteria; Bacillati; Bacillota; Bacilli; Lactobacillales; Lactobacillaceae. The record is from RNAcentral.
UGAGUAACGAGUGGGUAACCUGCCCUUAAGUCUGGGAUACCAUUUGGAAACAGAUGCUAAUACCGGAUAAAAGCUACUUUCGCAUGAAAGAAGUUUAAAAGGCGGCGUAAGCUGUCGCUAAAGGAUGGACCUGCGAUGCAUUAGCUAGUUGGUAAGGUAACGGCUUACCAAGGCGAUGAUGCAUAGCCGAGUUGAGAGACUGAUCGGCCACAUUGGGACUGAGACACGGCCCAAACUCCUACGGGAGGCAGCAGC